CUGGCAGCGUGCUGAUACAUGCAAGUAGUACGCUGAAGCUUGGUGCUUGCACCGAGCGGAUGAGUUGCGAACGGGUGAGUGACGCGUAGGUGACCUGCCUGGUAUUGGGGGAUUAUUAUUGGAAACGAUAGCUCAUACCGCAUAACAGUCGACAUUGCAUGAUGUUGAUUUGAAAGGGGCAUAUGCUCCACUACCAGAUGGACCUGCGUUGUAUUAGCUAGUUGGUGAGGUAACGGCUCACCAAGGCGACGAUACAUAGCCGACCUGAGAGGGUGAUCGGCCACACUGGGACUGAGACACGGCCCAGACUCCUACGGGAGGCAGCAGUAGGGAAUCUUCGGCAAUGGACGGAAGUCUGACCGAGCAACGCCGCGUGAGUGAAGAAGGUUUUCGGAUCGUAAAGCUCUGUUGUAAGAGAAGAACGAGUGUGAGAGUGGAAAGUUCACACUGUGACGGUAACUUAC
RNAcentral lists this ribosomal RNA (464 nucleotides) under Streptococcus sp. oral taxon G10. RNAcentral describes it as "bacterial SSU rRNA". It matches the Rfam family "Bacterial small subunit ribosomal RNA", at positions 36 to 483 of the family's 1533-position model. The record is from RNAcentral. Lineage: Bacteria; Bacillati; Bacillota; Bacilli; Lactobacillales; Streptococcaceae.